ACCCUCUGCCGAGGCCACGCUGUCCCCAAAGUGCCACCACGGGCCACCCGCAGCCCCCCGCGUCCCCCCCAGCGCCGUGUCCCUGCUCUGGGGGGCUCAGGGGACCGGCGGCUCCCCCCAGCAGUGUCCCCAAGUGUCCCCAACAGUGUCCCCAAGUGUCCCCAACAGUGUCCCCAAGUGUCCCCAAGUGUCCCCAAGUGUCCCCAGCAGUGUCCCCAAGUGUCCCCAAGUGUCCCCAGCAGUGUCCCCAAGUGUCCCCAAGUGUCCCCAAGUAUCCCCAAGUAUCCCCAAGUGUCCCCAAGUGUCCUCAAGUGUUCCCAAGUGUCCCCAAGUGUCCCCAGCAGUGUCCCCAAGUGUCCCCAAGUGUCCCCAAGCUCCAGCCCGGAGCGGGGGAUGCUCGGGAACGCUCUGAGCUCCCACUCGGGAGAUUUUGGGGCAGUUUGGGAUUUCUGGGUGUGAUGAUAAAACAGCCCCGAGCUCCCCGCCGGCCCGGGCUGCGGUUCUGCACUCCCAGCGCUCGGGGAGGGUCUCCAUCCCCCCGGAGCCCCUUCCCCAGAGCCCAGCACCCCCGGGCA
Molecule: long non-coding RNA, 575 nt
Organism: Poecile atricapillus (Black-capped chickadee)
Lineage: Eukaryota; Metazoa; Chordata; Aves; Passeriformes; Paridae
Exons: 3
Source: RefSeq, a predicted model, not a curated record